This is a long non-coding RNA of Adelges cooleyi (spruce gall adelgid), 1415 nucleotides long. RefSeq lists it as uncharacterized. The record is from RefSeq and is a predicted model, not a curated record. The transcript has 6 exons. NCBI's taxonomy places the organism in Eukaryota, Metazoa, Arthropoda, Insecta, Hemiptera, Adelgidae.
AAUUAUCACAGGUACGACGCUCUCGCUCGUUAAUAUUCAAACCACCUUGGAUUAUUAUAAAUGAUCCUUGAUUCAAACGGUAAUCGUUUAACUGUUAAACCGCUGUAACGCAGUGCAGAGCAACUAGAGUUAAAACAGUUGGACUUGCAAAUGGGGUGUUCUUGUUUGGUGAUGAUAUGGCAUGUUAACAUGGACCAGCCAAUUGGAUAUGAAAACAAUUCAUGAUGAUAUUUAUGAUCAAGCGAGGAAUCUAAUCACUUGGAGUUCAACAUCUAGACAUUUGUAUGAAUAUAUUGGGAUUUUUACCCGUAUCAUGGUAACCAACACUAAUCUUACAUUUGAAAGAUGGAAUAUGUAAGCUGCUAGUGAGGUAGGAAAAUAAAUUUGAAAAUUAUUAGUACAUCAGAUGAUAUCCAACAGCAUGAGAGGUAAUCACUGUAAUUACUACAGUAGUAAGAGUAGUAAUAGAUACCCAAUCAAAGCACUUUUUAUUUUAUUUAGAAAACACCUGGAUUUUAUAAGUGGACAAAAAACUCAAACACAUUGAAGUGAGGUGACAUUUCAUUGAAGUGUUGAGAAAUAUGAAGGAGAGUUUCAACUGCAGCAAACCACUGUCAACAGGCAGAUUUCAAAAACUUCGUUUAAUAUCAACACCUCAUCCCUGUGGUUAGGGGAGGAAGAAUUCUACCAAGGUCUCUACACCAGUCGUAAAAGGCGACUAAUGUGACGUAGAGCCCUCCGACAAGUGGCCUUUAUCUUGUGACACCUUCUCCGACCUGCAAUUAGCACCUAGUGCUACUUGUCGGUCUGCAGUCGUAGGGGAUCCUUCAGGGUGAACCACUAAAGCCAAAGAACAUCAGUCAGUCAACACCACUUAUCAACCAUCACCCAUGAUUACUUACUUUAACCCUUAGUGUAUGAUCUUAUCGGCUGUUAUGGGAUCCUAAACAUAAGGACUAUGAUAAUAAAAUUAAAAGGAAUGAAGCAAGACAUUUUUUCAUUUACAACAAUUGUAUGGAAACAAAAUGUAUAUUAUAUUUUUAAAGACUGGAAAUGGUAAAAUAGGUUAAUAUGAAUUUCAGCGUUGAGAAAACCUUUUUUAACAGAAGUGUCAAAUUGUCCAUACCUAUGCGGCAUUUUUACUUUAAGCACAUGGUAUUAUCUAACGGAUUUGUAAGAAGAGAGAACUGCAAUAGAUUUACAUUUUAUCUAACCUUAUCUGUUUGAAAAUGGACUGCUAAAACGCUGUACAACAUUAUAUUGUUUAUAUGGUUAUAUGAUUUAAUCUUCCCUUUUUUUUUUGUUAUAACAUUUUUUUAUACUUUCGAGUUGAUGGCAUAAACAGAUUGACGUUACCAGUGUUUCUUAAUUUUUAAGGGGAAUUGGUGAACUUUUUAAAUGUUCUCAGCUAAGCA